Exaiptasia diaphana is the source of this 324-nucleotide long non-coding RNA. RefSeq lists it as uncharacterized. Lineage: Eukaryota; Metazoa; Cnidaria; Anthozoa; Actiniaria; Aiptasiidae. The record is from RefSeq and is a predicted model, not a curated record. The transcript has 3 exons.
UCAGCUUUUUGWUUUUUUUCAGAGAAUAGAACAUUUUCAAUUUCUUUUAAUGGCACAAGAACGUUUGCGGUCACUGUGGGAACUACUGCUAGAGUAUUAGUUUCCUAUAGAUAUUGCUGUGAUGGUUGGACCUGCCCAAAUUGCACACUGCAUCUAUUCGAUGAGAAAAACAAUACAUUAAUCAAAACAAUUCAAGAAAUCUCUUGCAAACAAGAAACAUUUUCAUGGAUGGUGAAAAAACAGCAUAAGAUUGGGAAGCAUCCUUUGAAGAUUUCAUAUGAAUGGCCUUCCAAAUUGAAAAUCUCUAACUCCGUUGGAGCAAUG